This 202-nucleotide long non-coding RNA is filed under the name Physcomitrium patens. Its description in RNAcentral is "long non-coding RNA (PPAT_LNC013990)". Lineage: Eukaryota; Viridiplantae; Streptophyta; Bryopsida; Funariales; Funariaceae. The record is from RNAcentral.
AAUCCAUCCGGGAGACCCAAAGGUACGAGUUCAUUGAAUGCACUGCGGAUGUUGGUGCCUCCCCACCGUGUUCAAAUAUUAAUUGUGGAAUGUUUCGUGAAUCUACCCAUGUUAAUCUGGACUUAUCAAAAUUUGUGCGGUUCAGUUUUCUAUACAACAGACAUGUAGCUGCAGUCAUCACAAUGUCAUUGCUAUCGACUCA